Molecule: long non-coding RNA, 3282 nt
Organism: Chinchilla lanigera (long-tailed chinchilla)
Lineage: Eukaryota; Metazoa; Chordata; Mammalia; Rodentia; Chinchillidae
Source: Ensembl
CCCCGAGACGGGGAUUCCCCUCCGCGGGAAUGUCGGAGCCGUGAGCCGCCCCAGCCCACAGCGGCCGGCUACGGCGGAGGGGCGCGCAGCUUCACCCUCAGGGCCCCUCGGCCGCCCGCCCUCGCCUUCCGCUCGGGUGUAAACGGACUGCGAGGGGGGCUCCUGCACACCAUCUCUGGGGAAACCUGCUUUUCCGGGCCCUGAGGCCCUGGGGGAGGGGUGCCCGCGUGCGCCUGUGUGUGUGUGUGUGUGUGUGUGUGUGUGCGCGCGCGCGCGGGUGUGCCGACGCGGGUGUGUAAGAGGGAGGAUGUCGUGGCUCUGGUCCUCCUGCCGCCCGGGCUGGGGGAGGAAUGGGGAUCCCGGAAGGAGGAGCCUCCCCUGCCUGACCCUUCCUGUCCCUCCUCUUUUCGCCCAGGUUCUGGUCUCUUGGAGAUGAGCCCUCUCUGCCUCUCAAGUUCUUUGCCCUCUGCUCCCCAAGGCUGCCCAAGGCCCUCACGCUGGCUGCCACCCCAGCCUCUCUGUCCCCUCAUUCCACCGCCGCAGUAACACCCCACAGGGAAGCACCCUGCGCUCCUCCGCCGUUUUCACCACCACCCGCGGGCGGGCUGCUGCUUCCCUGUUCCCUCCGGACUAAGCUCCUCUUCUCAGCCUGUUGCUGGGGUCCCAGAGUGCCGAAGAGCAGGCGGGCCCCAGGGACACCACACUGCUGCCCUCUGCAGGUAUCCAGAAGCCAGUUUAUCCCACUUCUGCGCCCUGUGGGAACGCAGCCACGUCUUCCCCAUCCUGGAGUUCCCUUGGUGUGCCCCUCCCCUCAGCCCCGGCCUCACAGGUUGCCAUGCCGCACAGGCCUCGCCCACCCAACCCAGCGCCCUGAGGCCUGGUGGGGCAGCUCUGGCAGCCCUGCGCAGGGAUCGGGCGAUUCAGGCAGCAUACAGGGCCAACACUCUCUUCCUUUUCUGCACCAUGGCGCAGGGUCAGGUGAAAAGCAGGCUCCAUGCGGGAAUGUCCAAGCCAUACGCUCUGCCUCAGCAUCUGUGUCGUCAGGAGGAGAAGGUUGCUGUCCACUGCACAGUCUGUGGGGGAAAGGCAGAAGAAAUCCUGGAGAGAGGGCCAGGGUGUGAGAGUAUGAAUUAAGGAAGAAUAAUUUCUCCGAUACUGGAAACCUUGCUUUUGGGAUUCAGGAACACUCGAUGUGGGCAUCACACGUGAGCAGGCACUGGUGCCUGUGGUCUGGACUUCCACAUGGUGCCGGGCAGGCCAGGUUUCAGCCUCGAAGACGAGAGGCCCAGGGCAGGCUGCUCUGCGGCCCAACACCGACUUAGCAAGGAAGAGGCCACGAGCUGGUUCCAGCGGAAGUACGGUGGGAUCGUCCUUCCUGUGAAAAGGCCAAUAAAACGUUUUCAGUGGAAAAAAAAAAGAAUACAGGGGCAGAAAUGCAGCUCGGUCAUAGAGCACACACCUAGCAUGCGUGAGGUCCCAGGUCCGAUGCCCAGCACCAACAAAUAAAUACAUGUGUAUAGGUUUAUACACAGAGACAUAGAUCUGGUGGGAGGGUGAACAGACCUUAAAAGUGUGUGUGUGUGUGUGUGUGUGUGCGCGCGCGCGCGCGCGCCGCUAAACACCUUGCUGAGAGGAGCUCAGUGGGAGAGGCCCUGUCUAGCAUGCUAAGAGCCCUGGGCCCCAUCUCCAGCAAUGCAAAUAAUAAGAGGACAGAAAAAAAAAAUAUUCGGCGCCAUGGCUUUCUGCUUCUCGCUGGCUUCCUCUCCCACUCCUGAGCUGUGAGGCGCUGCUCCAUUGUCUGAACGCCUUAGCCUCUCACGGCAGCGGGAAGAGUCCUCUGAAAGCCAGUCUGGCCCACUGCCCAGCCCAGCCCCUUCGCCACACCCGUGCCUCCGCUUCAAGUACUGCGGCGGCUGCGGGCCAGGCCCAGCCAAUCUCUGUCCACUUGGCUGCAGGCUGGGGCUGUCCCCAGGCGGACACCAGCUCCAUGCCUUCUCAGCACAGCCCCUCGGCAUGCCUCCGUUGCCCUCGGCACAGUGGCUGAGCUGAGAUCAUCCGUGUUUCCUCCCUUUAUCCUGGAGACCCAGCUCCAGACCCAGCACACCGCCAGCAGCAGUGGACAUGUGCAGAGCGAAUGGCUGGACAUGUGUCUGUCCAGAACCAGAACCUUUCUGCCCGAGGGGAGUGGACUCUGGGGCCACCUGCUGCUCGUCCAUUGAUUGUAUCAGGGGCGCCACUUAGAAACGGCCCCCAGAAACAGGAGUUUAGGAAAUGCAGAGUGACCCCAGUCCUCGACCAAAUGUCAAUGUAGCAAAGUUUAAAAAGGUCCCUCAGCAGUGUACCUGUCACAGGGGUGGCUUCCUCCUCCCGGGACGAUGAAAGCAAAGAGCAAACAGAGGAUAUCUCUGUUUGUGACCAAGAACUUCUGGAAGUUGACAAGGAACCCUUUCUUUUGAACUUAUUCUGGCAGCAAACUACCGAUGCAGAAAAGUUCGUUUGAGUUACUGUAAGACGCUGCCAGUGUGGUCAAGAGGGAAUUCUGAGGAGAUCUGCAAUAUCAAAAUGACUUCAAUAUCAAAAAUGACUUCACUGAUGAGGAAGCAAAGGGUACAAAGAGGACCAGUGGUGUGAAGAGAAAAGAAAUGUCGUCCCAACCAGGCAGGGUGACAUAUGCCUGUAGUCCCAGCACUCAGGAGGCUGAGGCAGGAGGAUCACCAGGAGUUCAAGGCCAGCUUGAGCAACAUAGUGAAUCUAGGCUGGGGAUUUAGCUCAGUGGCACAGCGCCUGCCUGGCAAGCACAAGGUCAUGAGUUCGAUUCCUGGUACCAGAAAAAAACCAAAAGAAAAAAAAGAAAACAACCUAGUGAAUCUAGGCCAGCCUGAACUGCAUAGUGAGACAUAGUCUCAAAGAGAAAGAAAAAAGAAAGAGAAAGAAAGAAGGAAGGAACGAAGGAAGGAAGGAAAGAGAAGAGGAAAAGGAAAAGAAGUGUUGUGCCCAAAGCUGUGACACUAAGGCUUGUUUCAAACACUAGCUGCACUGCUCUGUCCGUAACUGUGAACAUUAGGCAGACAGCAGACAAACACAGCUGCACAUCCCGUGUUAGAACGGUGUCGUCCUUGCCACGUGUGCAGUUUGGGCACAGAUCAAAGCGAUGGCUGAGUUUCUUCUGGUUGAACAGAAGUUGCUCUUUUUCUGUAGUCUGGAUAAAAUCAAACUCUGGUUAUCUGCAGAAAGUGACAUCUUGAGCUUUCUUACUUUUUGUAAAGUGACUUCUGCUUAUUG